GGUUCACGUGCGGUCGCACAUGAUAUUAUUAUUGUACGUAUAUACGCUCACGCAUGAAUGUCUCGGUGAUAAUAUUAUUUUAAACAUUUUUUCCACGCCAGUCGCUGUGUUAUUAUUAUAUUGUAAUCCGAGGUACUUUUUUUUUUAUAAUCAUUUUUUCAAAUAAUUUCUGUUCGUAUAUUUAUCGUGUGCAUCGACUUCCGACCGGAAAUGUAAGACGAACACAAUUAAACGCGAACGGUGCGCGAUUCGGACGUCGAUGUCGUCGUCGUAAUUGUGCAUAAAUCAUUACUUAUUUUAAACGGCGAGUAGUGGAACGGGUUGGUUUUUCUUUCUUGUUGUUUAGUUUUGACUCAAACCAUCAAGCUGGAUUUCCAGGCUAAUUCCUCCAACAUGUUCACCAGGUUCGACGCGACCAAGUCCACUAAAGGAGCGAGCAAGCUUCGGAGGGAUCUCAUCAAUGCAGAGAUCGCUAACCUCCGGGACCUACUACCAUUGCCGCCGUCCACGAGGCAACGGUUGUCGCAGUUGCAACUUAUGGCCCUGGUGUGUGUGUACGUCCGGAAAGCCAACUACUUUCAACAAGCGUUCAAACGUCAUGAAUGUCUACACCACCAUUGCUUGCCAACGCCUAGUUACGGAUUUUCUAAGUCGCUCAGCGGGUUCUUGAUGAUGAUGACCCAAAACGGCAAACUCCUAUACAUAUCGGAUAACGCCGCCGAAUAUUUGGGACACUCGAUGGAGGAUCUCCUCAUACACGGCGACAGUGUGUACGACAUGAUCGAUAAACAAGAUCAUCAGGCUGUUCAAACCGAACUAUCCAGGAGUCAAACGUCCGCCGAGGACCAAGGAUGUAAGCGCAUGUUCUUGUGCCGGAUGAACGUUUCCAGGAACGCCCGGAGGCAAAUGCGAUUCGGCGAUCAAAAAGUGGUUUUGGUGCAGGGCCACUACCUCUCCUAUCUGCCGCUGUGCAGCAGAAAUGAACCAGUUUUCCUAGCCACUUGCAGCCCAGUGGCGAUGCCCGAGACCAGGGAGGCUGUAGUCCAGGGCUCCACCACAGUGUUCACAGCCAUCCAUUCGAUGGACAUGAAGUUCAUACACGUAGACAAAAUAGGAGAAUUUCAUUUGGGGUUUUCUCGUUCAGAACUGCAGGGCGUCUCUUGGUAUCAAUUGUUGCAUUGGGAGUGCAUGCGCGAGGCUCAGAGCAAACACAGGCUGAUUACACAAUCAGAACAGGAUCGUUCUUGCAUACUGCUGGCCAGGGUACAGAAGAGGGCCACAGGGGACUGGCUUUGGAUACACUGUGUGUUACAGGUCAAAGACAACAUGGAAAACAGCCAACAGCCAGUCAUCGUCAGCACAAAUCAAGUACUUACGGACCAAGAGGCGGCCGUGAUGCGGGCCAACAGUUGGCUGUACCAUUAUUACAUGGUGCAGAGCAAACUUCAGUACGGUAUGCAGUUCGAAGCGCAGACGUCGCCGCGAGUGCCGUCCACCGGGCCGGCACAGGUGCAGACGGGCGUGCCCCCGCCAACGGCGGCACCCGUGUACGCUUAUCACCACCAACAGUCGCCGCACCAGCAGGACGGUGCUUACCCGUCGGCGGACCACCAGCACCACCAACAGCACCAUCAACAGCAACACCAACAGCAACACCAGCAGCACCACCAGCAGCAACAACCGGUGCACUUCCACCAGUUACCCGACGGAUACUUCCGGUACGCCGCGGCGGCCGCAACGUCGACCGGGACGGCGGCGGUGACCACGGCUGCGGCGACAACGACCACUGCGGUGGCGUCGAAACGGCACAGGUUGGAACCCGAACCCGUUGACUAUUCCAUACAUUCGCCCGAGCAGACGCCGCCGUUGAAGGUCGAGGACGGCGGCCACUCGAUGGUGUCCGACCCGUCGCCGUCGCCGCCUUCGAUGGGCGGCGGCGAUUCCGGCGGCGGGUGCGCUACCGCGGUGGCGGCCGCUCUCUCGUCGUCCCUGCCGUCGGCCACGUCGCUGGGCCGGUCUCGGGCGCUGGUCAAGGCGGCCAUGGACCCCGGCGACCUGAUGAUGGAAACGUGGAAUCCCAGUCCACCGUGGUCGGACUGCUGUUCCGGGACCGGCGCCCUGCAAAAGGUGCCCGACGUGGACAUGCUCGGCAGCAGCGGCGGUGGCAGUUACUGCGGACAGCCGACGCCCCCCACGCCCGGUAGCGGUGGCUCGUACCACACGUCGUCGGGCGCACCACAGCAACACCACAACCAUCAACACCACCCGGGGGGCUGCGAUGAGGUGCCCACCGCCGACACGCUACACCAACACCACCACCAUCAUCACCACCAUCACCAACCGUCCACGUUCACGUUCGACUGGCCGGGCGAGCAGUACGUGCCCAACGUGCACGAGGUGCUCGUCGAGCCCACGCCGCACUAUAUAGUUCCGUUCCCGCCGUGGCCGCACACCGCCGCGGCCGACCACCACAGGCUGUUCCCGCUCCAACCACCACCGCCCGGCUCUAUGAACCGACCGUCGCUCAUCGUACGGGUCGACCAAGACGCCGCCGCUGCCGCCGCCGCCGACGCUUCCGUCCAAGACGGACGUCGUGAAAGCGACAUGUGACGAGUGGACGCGAGGAUUACGAGAAAUCAUCAUUGCAAUGUUGGCCUCGCGAGAACGCCACCGCGAAGUGCUAUUUUUCGUCUCGUCCGAAGCCAUAAAAAUACGAACGUUUAAUUUUUUUUCUCUCGUUUAUAAUAUAUGACGUUAUACCACACAAACGAUACUCUCAAAUGUAGCCGACAAUUAUCUACCAGCAAUAUAUUAUUAUUAUCGUAUGGUUCGCGUAGUUAGCGUAUUGAUAGCGGUGGCGGACGCUUUGUACGUAUAACUGCAUUCUGCGUUCUGUGUAUACGUGUCGUAUACAGAGUGAUUCUUUUAAUGUGAAUUCUUAGGAAAUACAUUAAAAACAAUAUUUAGUACGCAAAACAACGUAAAAUAGUAUAUUAAGUUUCGAAGCGUUUAAAAAAAAAAAAAAAAAAAUGUUUUUUAAUUCCUUAUAUUUCCCAAGUUAUUACACGUUUCUCGCGAUAAAAGAAUCACUACGUAAACGAUAGAUCUAACGUACAUCGAUCUGUCCCGGUAAAUAUUUUAUAGACAAUUGUAUAAUAACAUAAUAUAAGUAUUUUAGUGCCUACGAGUGCAUGUUUAUGAGUCACACGGCUCGCGUUAUUGUGAAUAAAAUCGGAAGAGCGUCGUCGU
This 3249-nucleotide unclassified non-coding RNA is filed under the name Rhopalosiphum maidis (corn leaf aphid). RNAcentral describes it as "uncharacterized LOC113558248, transcript variant X1". Lineage: Eukaryota; Metazoa; Arthropoda; Insecta; Hemiptera; Aphididae. The record is from RNAcentral.